UACAGAGGGUGCGAGCGUUGUUCGGAAUUAUUGGGCGUAAAGCGCGAGUAGGCGGUCUGUUAAGUCGCGUGUGAAAGCUCCCAGCUCAACUGGGAAAGUGCGCGCGAAACUGGUGGACUUGAGUGCUGGAGAGGGUGGCGGAAUUCCCGGUGUAGAGGUGAAAUUCGUAGAUAUCGGGAGGAACACCAGAGGCGAAGGCGGCCACCUGGAAAGUCACUGACGCUGAGAAGCGAAAGCGUGGGGAGCAAAC
RNAcentral lists this ribosomal RNA (250 nucleotides) under uncultured bacterium. RNAcentral's name for it is "partial 16S ribosomal RNA". It matches the Rfam family "Bacterial small subunit ribosomal RNA", at positions 524 to 773 of the family's 1533-position model. The record is from RNAcentral.